UACGUAGGGGGCAAGCGUUAUCCGGAUUUACUGGGUGUAAAGGGGGCGCAGACGGCGAUGCAAGCCAGGAGUGAAAGCCCGGGGCCCAACCCCGGGACUGCUCUUGGAACUGCGUGGCUGGAGUGCAGGAGGGGCAGGCGGAAUUCCUGGUGCAGCGGUGAAAUGCGUAGAUAUCAGGAGGAACACCGGUGGCGAAGGCGGCCUGCUGGACUGCAACUGACGUUGAGGCCCGAAAGCGUGGGGAGCAAACAGG
This 253-nucleotide ribosomal RNA is filed under the name uncultured bacterium. RNAcentral's name for it is "partial 16S ribosomal RNA". It matches the Rfam family "Bacterial small subunit ribosomal RNA", at positions 524 to 776 of the family's 1533-position model. The record is from RNAcentral.